CGUUGUUCCGCUGCUAGAAGUUUUCCGCUGCUACGAGAUGUUCCGCUGCUAGCAUAGAGCAAGUGUAGUAUCGCAGGCGUAGUGUCGCCAUGCUGAUGUGAUCAUUGUAACAUCUGACCCAUGUAAUUAUUAUUCUUGUAGUGAGAGCUGAUUUGUUCUAUGUCAAGCAGUGUCGUAUUCCAUAGACUUCUCCUUGAUCUCUGGGCUGGAAUACGGGGUGUUCCGGUUUCUCUGAGCCGGGGUGCCAGAGGCUUGGUAUCAGAGCAGGUCUAGCUAUAGGACGCCCUAGUUAGCGCGAUUAGUAGAAACCGGUAGAAAUCGGUAGUUUAGAGGUGGUCUUGUUUGUCGCAUUUGGUUGCUGCAUUUGUUUGUUGCAUAACAUGAAUGUAGCCUUAUUAUUUUGUUACUAACGGUUUAAUCUAGUGAGUGUAGGUGGCAUCGGUCUGGAUCCACUACAGCUCAGCCUUUACACUUCUCCAGUUUUCUUGCUCAUUCUUCGGUGUUUAGCGUCAUUUCUGUCCCGGCAGAGUGAUGCCAAGUGGUCCUGACACUGUUUGCAAACAUGGUGCUCAAGUAUCACGCCGAGUUAUUUCCUUCAGCCCCACCUUUUGUUUCAGUGGUAGACAUGCUUCUAUCACGGAUCGUCCUUUUGCUUGUCAUUUUGGCAACCCUUAAUGAUCAUAGUUAUCAAGAAAGGGCAAUGUCAGCAGCCUCAGUUUUUCCCCGCUAUCCUAUUUCUUGGACGAGUACAGACCUUUUUCCGUCCACUUGAUGAUAAUGUGGUUGCGACCUUCGUGUCCCGCUAUGUGAUUACCGAGUGCGUCCUCACCUCUGAGCUAGUCCAGGUUGCUACCUGGCUAGGCUAGCACUUGGUGUAGCGCUAUCUACACCGAUUCUUCCACACAUAGAUUCGUCCUCCUGCACAACGUCACAACAUGUUCGAUCGUAGAGCCGGAGAUCCCGUGAGAAUUGUGUGCUUUAGUAGGCAUGCAUAUUGUGUGACUAGCAGUAAUAUGUGAUAUUGAUUGUGUGUGAAUUUAUUGAUGUUAUGUGUUUUUGUUUAGUUGAGUUUUCUUUUGCUUCUUUCUUUUUGGGACCCGGUGUUACAUUAUUUUUCCCCUAUAAACAAUUGCUCAUCAACUGACACCGGACUCGAAGAAGUGAUAAGUAUUUCCAAUAUUUGGAAGAAGCUCAGCUAAACAUUAUGGCCUUCUCAGUCAACCGCAUGAUAUAAGGAAUAUCUACUCAGAAUACCAAUUGUGUCUUGGAUUGAUUAUCCGCAUCAAUUCUACCGCAGUAAUGAUCCAGCGAGCAGAAAGAUAAGUCAGAUGCAAGACCCACGGUAUAUUUUUCAGUCAAAGGUAUGGAUCAUAGGCAAAGUUUUGGCUCAGCAAUAAAUGAUACUUGAAAUAUGUUAUAUUCCAAGAGAAAGUCAGGAUGUGAUAUGCUCAACGAAGACAGUCAAACAAUUUUUCUCAUGCAAAUGAUCAGCCUCAAAAUAUUAUGGACGUGUGCAUGGAUUUCAGUCUGCAUAUCAGUAUGAAGUUUUGGAUAUAAGAAACCCAGCAUUAUUCCACACGCUAUCGGAAGAAAUUCAUGAGGCAAGACUCCUCAAUUUUUUUCCGCAGCAUGAUAUGUGAAUAAUUUCCGGCCCACGGUACCCGGUCUUUCUCAACAAGAUACCUCAGUAAAAGCUUCUCACAGGCGGAAAUGAUUUUUUUCUCAACAAGCAAAACCGAGGAGAAGCUUCUCAAUUACGGAAAACUCGACUUCUCCUGCACACUACUCAGGUCAAGCUUCGUGUGUAAGCUAUCAAGGCUUCUUCUGCAUGCUACCCAGACAAAAGCUUCAACUAGAAGCUAAUGAGCCUUCCUCGGCAAACUACACAAAUUGCUUUUCUCUGCAGAUCAAGGAUCAGAUUUGCAAUAAGUUUGUCAGAGAUAUACCUAAGAAAGGUACGGAUCUAACAACCUCGUGAGCCAUGCAUAUGAAGAUAAGCAGAGAUACAUCUCAUGAAUUACAAGGAUCGACAAGAUCGGGAGAUGACAUCACAAAAUCAACAGUCAUCUAGGUCAUUAUUCCCGCACCAGACAAGGUGAUAUAUAAACUCUUGUCACCUUCUUGUAUGAUUGGCCUCAGCAAUGAGCUCCGUACAGCUACAAACCUCGAGGGCAUGUCAUAUAUGUGUAGAGGCAGGUCAGAAAAACAAGCACAAAGAAUCAAGGACAUGUGUGGCCAAGUUAUUUUAGCAAGGUAUCCUGACAAAGAAAAUCAUGAGUUCAUGACCGUUAAAGGGUGAGGCUGACAACAAAGGUAUGAUGUAUUUUGCACGACCAUCAGGGUCCGGAUACCCAAAUCAGUUGGAGGCCAUAAUUCCAUAUGGAUCCACAAAGACAUACACCUUCAGCGGCCUACUCUAUUUACAAGGAUUUUCACAUCCCGCUGACCCACUUUACAUGGUUAGUGUGGAAUAUCCAAGUCUGUUAUGUCAGAUCCAAGAUUCCAUUGCAACCUCAACAGUUUGACCUAAACGGCAGAGUUAAAACAUAUCACAGCGUAUUGCCAAAAAUGGGUAUACCGACAAAAUGAGAAAGUCAAAAGCCGAAUAAUCAGCUCAGACCCGGUAUACUCACCGACGGGAUCAAGUACAUGGUCAGUCUGUCAGGAAAAGCAUUUGUCCGUGAGCCCCUAUUGGGCAAAGUAUCAAGAUAUAAAUAUUUGAGGUAUGGCAUAGCUAUAACUCCAUACACCGUUAUAUUGCUCACGACAGAAGGCAGUCAAAUCUCUGUUGUAUGCCACAUGCUCGAGCCAAAGGAAAUAAAGCAAGAUAAAUCGGUGCACCUAUGAGCAGUCAGAUCCCAUUAGAAGAUGGCCAGAUUAAUUCUAAGUAUUUAUUGAACCCAGAAGGCUUGCAUUUAUUUGCAUCAACCCCAUGACAGAAAUAAAAAGGUUUUCAUGACCAAAUGGAAAUUUAUGAUCAGAUCCGUCAGACAUCACCAUAGCUAUGUGGAAAUCAACGUCAGCAAAAGGAUUUGGUAUAUGAGCAAAGACCCAUCAAAGUUUGGGGAAAAGCCACCCUAGAGCAAGGUAAGUUUAUCAUCUGAAAUUCUUGGGGGAACAAUAAAUAAAGGAAAAAGGAUGCCCGAGUUGGAAACGGUAUCCUCAAGUCAUACUUGUUCCUAGAGAAACUAAAUCUCAAGGACGAGAUUUCUUUAAGGGGGUAAGAGUUGUAACAACCUGGAUUUUGGCCCUUUUCUUUUUCUUUUUAAUUUAUUGGUUUUUGCUCUGUUUUUCUUUUUGGAGUUGUUCUGUGGCCUUGUCACCUGGGAAAUCAUCCUCUUUUUCCAUCCCAAGUGGCUCAUCAUUCUCAAAACCCUGCCAAGAUCAUGUCACUUCACAGCUUGCCCAAACCCUAAUUUCUUUUUUCUCGGGAAUAUUCCUUUUUCUAUUAAAAGAAUAACCAUGUCUGCCCUAGGUUGUGAAGCAACCUAUAUUACCAUCACUCCUAAAAUUCCAAAAUAAUUCUCAUAAAUUGUUUGGGCCAUAUAUUUCCCAAAUAUGGCAAAAUAUUUCAUUUGUCAUGUUUAUCAUCUUGCUCAAAUAAUUCAUUUCCUAUUCUGUCUUGAAUGGCAGAAUGUGAAGCAAGUGCUAUUUUUCUUUGCCCAAUUGACCUCAAACUCCUUGGACACCUUUUCCUGUCCAUAUCAUUGCAACAUGCCAAAAUGCAACCUCAUUUGCCAAGUAAUUACUUAAUUAUGAUUUUCCAAAGUUUCUAUCCAGAAAUAAGCUUUGUGAAGGAGGUGCAAGCUAGGCAUAUCCAAAUGAGUUGCCAUUUUGCAUGGUCCCUCAUAUCAUCAUAUCAUAGCCCUCCACCAAAGUAGAGCUCAUGUUAUUACUCCAUGGGAGCUCAAUUUCAAUUCUUUGAUUCUGCCAAGAAUUUUAGUUUGUGAAGCAAGUACAUUUUAUCUUGCUCCAUUAUGGCUGCCAAUUUUUCUAGGCCUUCUAUUAUCCAUAUAACCUACAUCCACCCAUUUUGGGCAUGGUUCAUCCAGCCAAUAUUUCUCUAGAAUUUUUGAGAGUUUCUGGUCAGCAAGGAUGUUUGUGAAGCAAGUACCAUUUUGGUGAAACCAAUUGGUAUGAAACUUAUACAGCAUCUUUAUAUGAUCACAUCAUGAAGCCUUGCCAAACAUGAACUCAAAGUGGCCACACCAUUUGAGUGCAUCAUCCAAAUCUCAUUCUGGACCAUUUUGGUCGGUUGCAAAGCAACUAUGAUUUAUCUUGAUCCAAUUCUUCUCCAAGUUACCAGGAUGAAAGUCCUUCUUUACCUCAACCUCGCACACAACUUCAUUGGAUCCAAAACCCUUCCUGUUGAUCAAUAGUGCUCACCCAAGUUUACUGCAGUAAACUUCAUACGUCAUUUACCAUUUAACCACAGCACCUCAGGUCGAGACAAUGGCACAUUAAUUCUCUAUCUUAGAAGGACAAAACGCUAGACACCAUUUCCAUGCCUCUCGUGGUCUCCCUGUGCCAUGUCAUGUGGUGACCGCGCAGCUGGCAUGCACAUUUACGCGCUCUGUGCACUAUGGUGUGUCCGGAGCACCGUUUGUGCUUUGGCACCGCUCCCCCUCGUCGGCUUCGGGCGCGUGAGCAUGUCCCUUGGCUUCACCUCGUCGUCGCCGAUCNNNNNNNNNNNNNNNNNNNNNNNNNNNNNNNNNNNNNNNNNNNNNNNNNNNNNNNNNNNNNNNNNNNNNNNNNNNNNNNNNNNNNNNNNNNNNNNNNNNNNNNNNNNNNNNNNNNNNNNNNNNNNNNNNNNNNNNNNNNNNNNNNNNNNNNNNNNNNNNNNNNNNNNNNNNNNNNNNNNNNNNNNNNNNNNNNNNNNNNNNNNNNNNNNNNNNNNNNNNNNNNNNNNNNNNNNNNNNNNNNNNNNNNNNNNNNNNNNNNNNNNNNNNNNNNNNNNNNNNNNNNNNNNNNNNNNNNNNNNNNNNNNNNNNNNNNNNNNNNUCACCGAGGAAAACCGCCGUGCGCCCACGAGAGCACAGUGCUCCGUUUGGCUCUGCUCGUCGCCGUCGUCAUCCUCCCUGUGCUCCCUUGGCCGCCUCUGCCCCGUGAGAACCUCCACUGCUCCUCCUGCGCCGUCUACCUCCGAGCUCGCAAGCGUGGGCACGCGUCCGCGGCGCCGAACACGCAUCCGUGGCGGUGCCAGCUCGGCACUCCUUCCAUCUGCCUAUUUAAGCCCUUCCCCGAGCCCUCCAAGCUCACAAACCUCUUCCUCUCCUUCCCAGAGCCCUGUGCCGCCUCUUCUUUGAGCUCUAGAAGCUCUCCUCGCCACAAACCAUCACCACGGCCGCCGCUCCCUCCGCCCUAAAUUCUUCGGAGCCGAGCCCUCCCUCUCCUCAUAGCCACUACCAGAGCACCACCUAGUCCCCGACGGUCCUCCCCAUAUACUUAGUUCGUCGCCGGAGCCCUCAUCGCUGCAUGCCCCAUCUUGGCCGAAGACCAUGCGCCGCGGGUGCUCUCUGUUGUCGCCGCUAUAGCACUCCCCGGCGUGCGUGCAGCCCCUGGAUGGGUGCUGGCCUCUGUCCCGAGGCCAUCAGUGUCUUCUCCCUGGCCGGAGAUGGCCGGAGCUGGCCGGAAUCCUGCGGCGUCGUCGACCCACUCCCUGUCUAGUGAGCAGGCGCGGGGAAGAAGAAGGGGGAGGCGGGAGGAGGGAGUUGACCAGUGUGUGGCCCCCGCGGGCCCACCAGUCAGCAACCCAAGCCCCGGCCCUGCACCCUCGCUGACAUGGAUAAGUGGAAGCGGGAAUGGCUCGGGUGCGCUCUCCCCUCACGAAAGCGUACUCUCCUCUCCUUCGGGCCAAACUACGCUUUCACUUUAGAGAAAGCGUACUACCGGAGAAGGCGCUUUCUGUUUUUACGGCUGAGGGCCUGUUUGUGAAGAUUUCAUCACAGAUAGGUCCCUGGCAGAAAAACAUUACAUCUUUUUACCCACAACUCCAAAUGAGAUGAUUCCAAAGCCCACUUCUUCGUUUCAUCGAGCCCGUUCUGAUGGAACCAUUUUCACCAUGUUUUGACAUUCUGAAAAUGACCAUUUUGCCCCUGCACUUAUUCAGCCUCCUCCGAGAGAGUACGUUUUCCGGCAAUCCUUUCCGCGAGUUUCUCGCACUUUCUCCCAGUGAUUUCUUCCACCCCAGGAAAGCCACACCCUCCAUUGGCAUGAUUGCAAUGCAGUGACAUGGUUUAAAUUAUUUGAACUUGUUUAAAAUAUUGCUUUAGCUACAUGACUUUGUGCAUGGCAAUUUCUCGGAGUUGUAUUUUUAUCUUGUUAUUGCCAUGAUGUUUCUUGGAGUUCUAGGACUUUUAUUUUGCAGCUUAUGUGGUUGACAUGCUGCCAUUGGAUUAUUAGUGGCUUAUGUUAUGAUGGUGGUGUUGGGUAUGAUAUUUUUGGAGUAUUUGCUUUGGAUGUCAUACUGCCUUUGGAUUAUUAGUGGUUAGUAUGAUUAUUUUCAUGAUGAUACCUGUCAUUAUAUCUUGGAGUAUUUGCUUUGGAUGUCAUACUGCCUUUGGAUUAUUAGUGGUUAGUAUGAUUAUUUUCAUGAUGCUAGUUGAUGUUCUGUUGCUUGGAGUAUUAUUUUCGGAGAUGAUGUUUACAUGUGGAUCUUAGCCGAAUAGCUUUAUUCUUGUUAUUGGAGUAGUAGGAGUAUUGUUUUCAGAUUCAUCAUGACAGUAGUGUUGUGCUACCCUUGGAGUAUUUUGAGAUGAUGAUAUUAUGCUUGGAUUAUUUGUUGGAUAUUGCUAUGAUUUGGAUUAUAGUUUUAUAGUUGAUAUUGGAGUAGCAGUUACCAGAGCUAUAUUUUUGGGGAUAAAUUCUGUCAUUAAGUUGGUCAGGUGCCGCCGAACCGGGCUUUUCCAGUGCAACCACAUUUGCCUUUAUGGCAAGGCCCUAAUGCGGUCUAUUGUCGUGCCUCUCGCCGGUGCCUCUAACUAGGGAAGGUUAUGGGCGUGCAUACCCUGGCCCGGUAAGCAGACAUAACCUUGUGUGCCCGUAGUUGGAUUUUGCGCGUGUGUCCGCAAGUGGGAGUUUCCCCGAGUGGGAGUUUGGCCACGACGGUGGUCGGGGUGUCUUUGGUAGACACAGGGCCACCCAGGACUAGCCCAGUUGGGAGUGGGUCGGAGUGGACGGGAGAGCGUCAUGGCAGUAGAUCGGUUUUGUCGGAACGCCGUUGGUCCACCCCGAAUGGAAGUACGAGGCCAUGGGUUCUGUGGUGUGGGUGUUGGGGAACGUUGCAGAAAACAAAAAAUUUCCUACGGUUUCACCAAGAUCCAUCUAUGAGUUCAUCUAUCAAUGAGCGAUUGGAUGCAUCUACGUACCUUGUAGAUCGCGAGCGGAAGCGUUCAAAGAAUGGGGAUGAGGGAGUCGUACUCGACGUGAUUCGAAUCACCGAAGAUCCUAGCACCGAAUGGACGGCACCUCCGCGUUCAACACACAUACGGUCAGCGUGACGUCUCCUUCUUCUUGAUCCAGCAAGAGGGAAGGAGAGGUUGAGGAAGAUGGCUCCAGCAGCAGCACGACGGUGUGGUGGUGAUGGAGCUGCAGUACUCCGGCAGGGCUUCGCCAAGCACUAUGGAGGAGGAGGAGGUGUUGGAGAGGGAGAGGGAGGCACCAAAGAUCAAGGUAAGAAGUCCUCCAUCUCCCCACUAUAUAUAGGAGGGCCAAGGGGGGGGGGCGCCGGCCCUAGGAGAUCUAAUCUCCUAGGGUGGUGCGGCCAAGGGGAGGAAUCCCUCCUCCCCAAGGCACCUAGGAGGUGCCUUCCCCUCCUAGGACUCUUCCUCCUUGAAACCCUAGGCGCAUGGGCCUCUUGGGGCUGGUGCCCUUCGCCCAUGUAGGCCAAGGCGCACCCCCUACAGCCCAUGUGGCCCCCCGGGACAGGUGGCCCCACCCGGUGGACCACCGGGACCCUUCCGGUGGUCCCAGUACAAUACCGAUGACCCCGAAACUUGUCCCGAUGCCCGAAACAGGACUUCCCUUAUAUAAAUCUUUACCUCCGGAGCAUUCCGGAACUCCUCGUGACGUCCGGGAUCUCAUCCGGGACUCCGAACAACAUUCAGGUUACUGCAUAUACAUAUCCCUACAACCCUAGCGUCACCGAACCUUAAGUGUGUAGACCCUACGGGUUCGGGAGACAUGUAGACAUGACCGAGAUCGCUCUCCGGUCAAUAACCAACAGCGGGAUCUGGAUACCCAUGUUGGCUCCCACAUGAUCCUCGAUGAUCUCAUCGGAUGAACCAUGAUGUCGAGGAUUCAAGCAACCCCGUAUACAAUUCCCUUUGUCAAUCUGUAUGUUACUUGCCCGAGAUCCGAUCGUCGGUAUCCCAAUACCUCGUUCAAUCUCGUUACCGGCAAGUCACUUUACUCGUACCAUAAUGCAUGAUCCCGUGACCAGACACUUGGUCACUUUGAGCUCAUUAUGAUGAUGCAUUACCGAGUGGGCCCAGUGAUACCUCUCCGUCAUACGGAGUGACAAAUCCCAGUCUUGAUCCGUGUCAACCCAACAGACACUUUCGGAGAUACCCGUAGUAUACCUUUAUAGUCACCCAGUUACGUUGUUUCGUUUGGCACACCCAAAGCACUCCUACGGUAUCCAGGAGUUACACGAUCUCAUGGUCUAAGGAAAAGAUACUUGACAUUGGAAAACUCUAGCAAACGAACUAUACGAUCUUAUGCUAUGUUUAGGAUUGGGUCUUGUCCAUCACAUCAUUCUCCUAGUGAUGUGAUCUCAUUAUCAAUGACAUCUAAUGUCCAUAGUCAGGAAACCAUGACUAUCUGUUGAUCAACGAGCUAGUCAACUAGAGGCUUACUAGGGACAUGUUGGUGUCUAUUAUUCACACAUGUAUUACGAUUUCCAGAUAACACAAUUAUAACAUGAAUAAAGACAAUUAUCAUGAACAAAGAAAUAUAAUAAUAAUGCUUUUAUUAUUGCCUCUAGGGCAUAUUUCCAACAGUCUCCCACUUGCACUAGAGUCAAUAAUCUAGUUACAUUGUGAUGAAUCGAACACCCAUGGAAUUCUGGUGUUGAUCAUGUUUUGCUCUAGGGAGAGGUUUAGUCAACGGAUCUGCUACAUUUAGGUCCGUGUGUACUUUACAAAUAUCUAUGUCUCCAUCUUGAACAUUUUCACGAAUGGAGUUGAAGCGACGCUUGAUGUGGCUUGUCUUCUUGUGAAACCUGGGCUCCUUGGCAAGAGCAAUAGCUCCAGUGUUGUCACAGAAGAGUUUGAUUGGCCCCGACGCAUUGGGUAUGACUCCAAGGUCGGUGAUGAACUCCUUCACCCAAAUUGCUUCAUGCGCUGCCUCCGAGGCUGCCAUGUACUCCGCUUCACAUGUAGAUCCCGCCACGACGCUCUGCUUGCAACUGCACCAGCUUACUGCCCCACCAUUCAAAAUAUACACGUAUCCAGUUUGUGACUUAGAGUCAUCCAGAUAUGUGUCGAAGCUAGCGUCGACGUAACCCUUUACGACGAGCUCUUCGUCACCUCCAUAAACGAGAAACAUUUCCUUAGUCCUUUUCAGGUACUUUAGGAUAUUCUUGACUGUUGUCCAGUGUUCCUUGCCGGGAUUACUUUGGUACCUUCCUACCAAACUUACGGCAAGGUUUACAUCAGGUCUGGUACACAACAUGGCAUACAUAAUAGAACCUAUGGCUGAGGCAUAGGGGAUGACACUCAUCUCUUCUAUAUCUUCUGCCAUGGUAGGACAUUGAGCUGAGCUCAAUUUCACACCUUGUAACACAGGCAAGAACCCCUUCUUAGACUGAUCCAUAUUGAACUUCUUCAAUAUCUUAUCAAGGUAUGUGCUUUGUGAAAGACCUAUGAGGCAUCUUGAUCUAUCUCUGUAGAUCUUGAUGCCUAAUAUAUAAGCAGUUCUCCAAGGUCCUUCAUUGAAAAACUCUUAUUCAAGUAGGCCUUAAUGCUGUCCAAGAGUUCUAUAUCAUUUCCCAUCAAAAGUAUGUCAUCUACAUAUAAUAUGAGAAAUGCUACAGAGCUCCCACUCACUUUCUUGUAAACACAGGCUUCUCCAUAAGUCUGUGUAAACCCAAACGCUUUGAUCAUCUCAUCAAAGCGAAUGUUCCAACUCCGAGAUGCUUGCACCAGCCCAUAAAUCGAGCGUUGGAGCUUGCACACCUUGUCAGCAUUCUUAGGAUCGACAAAACCUUCUGGCUGCAUCAUAUACAAUUCUUCCUUAAGGAAACCAUUAAGGAAUGUCGUUUUGACGUCCAUUUGCCAUAUUUCAUAAUCAUAGAAUGCGGCAAUCGCUAACAUGAUUCGGACGGACUUCAGCUUCGCUACCGGUGAGAAAGUCUCAUCGUAGUCAACCCCUUGAACUUGUCGAUAACCCUUAGCGACAAGCCGAGCUUUAUAGAUGGUCACAUUACCAUCCGUGUCUGUCUUCUUCUUAAAGAUCCAUUUAUUUUCUAUGGCUCGCCGCUCAACGGGCAAGUCAGUCAAAGUCCAUACUUCAUUUUCAUACAUGGAUCCUAUCUCGGAUUUCAUGGCUUCUAGCCAUUUGUCGGAAUCCGGGCCCGCCAUCGCUUCUUCAUAGUUCGAAGGUUCACCGUUGUCUAACAACAUGAUUUCCAAGACAGGGUUGUCGUACCACUCUGGUGCGGAACGUGUCCUUGUGGACCUUCGAAUUUCAGUAGGAGCUUGAUCAGAAGCAUCUUGAUCAUCAUCAUUAACUUCCUCUCUAGUCGGCGCAGGCACCUCAGGAACAUUUUCUUGAGUUGCGCCAUUUUCUGGUUCAAGAGGUAAUACUUCAUCAAGUUCUACUUUCCUCCCACUUACUUCUUUCGAGAGAAACUCUUUCUCUAGAAAGGACCCAUUCUUGGCAACAAAGAUCUUGCCUUCAGAUCUGAGGUAGAAGGUAUACCCAAUAGUUUCUUUAGGGUAUCCUAUGAAGACGCAUUUUUCCGAUUUGGGUUCGAGCUUUUCAGGUUGAAGUUUCCUGACAUAAGCAUCGCAUCCCCAAACUUUUAGAAACGACAGCUUAGGUUUCUUCCCAAACCAUAAUUCAAACGGUGUCGUCUCAACAGAUUUUGAUGGAGCCCUAUUUAAAGUGAAUGCGGCAGUCUCUAAAGCAUAGCCCCAAAACGAUAGUGGUAAAUCGGCAAGAGACAUCAUAGAUCGCACCAUAUCUAAUAGAGUGCGAUUACGAUGUUCGGACACACCAUUACGCUGAGGUGUUCCAGGCGGCGUGAGUUGUGAAACUAUUCCACAUUUUCUUAAGUGUGUGCCAAACUCGUGACUCAAGUAUUCUCCUCCAUGAUCUGAUCGCAGGAACUUGAUUUUCCAGUCACAUUGAUUCUCAACCUCACUCUAAAAUUCCUUGAACUUUUCAAAGGUCUCAGACUUGUGUUUCAUUAAGUAGACAUACCCAUAUCUACUCAAGUCAUCAGUGAGGGUGAGAACAUAACGAUAGCCACCGCGAGCCUCAACACUCAUUGGACCGCACACAUCAGUAUGUAUGAUUUCCAAUAAGUUGGUUGCUCGCUCCAUUGUUCCUGAGAACGGAGUCUUGGUCAUUUUACCCAUGAGGCAUGGUUCGCACGUGUCAAAUGAUUCGUAAUCAAGAGACUCUAAAAGUCCAUCAGCAUGGAGCUUCUUCAUGCGUUUGACACCUAUGUGACCAAGGCGGCAGUGCCACAAGUACGUGGGACUAUCAUUAUCAACCUUACAUCUUUUGGUACUCACACUAUGAAUAUGUGUAGCAUUACGCUCGAGAUUCAUUAAGAAUAAACCAUUCACCAUCGGAGCAUGACCAUAAAACAUAUCUCUCAUAUAAAUAGAACAACCAUUAUUCUCGGAUUUAAAUGAGUAGCCAUCUCGUAUUAAACGAGAUCCUGAUACAAUGUUCAUGCUCAAACUUGGCACUAAAUAACAAUUAUUGAGGUUCAAAACUAAUCCGAUAGGUAAAUGUAGAGGUAGCGUGCCGACGGCGGUCACAUCGACUUUGGAACCAUUCCCGACGCGCAUCGUCACCUCGUCCUUCGCCAGUCUCCGCUUAUUCUGCAGCUCCUGCUUUGAGUUACAAAUGUGAGCAACUGCACCGGUAUCAAAUACCCAGGAAAUACUACGAGUACUGGUAAGGUACACAUCAAUUACAUGUAUAUCACAUAUACCUUUCGUUUUGCCGGCCUUCUUGUCCGCUAAGUAUUUGGGGCAGUUCCGCUUACAGUGACCACUUUCCUUGCAAUAAAAGCACUCAGUCUCGGGCUUGGGUCCAUUCUUUGGCUUCUUCCCGGUAGCUUGCUUGCCGGGCGCGGCAACUCCCUUGCCAUCUUUCUUGAAGGUUUUCUUACCCUUGCCUUUCUUGAACUUAGUGGUUUUAUUCACCAUCAACACUUGAUGUUCCUUUUUGACUUCUACCUCUGCUGAUUUCAGCAUUGCAAAUACUUUAGGAAUGGUCUUUUCCAUCCCCUGCAUAUUGAAGUUCAUCACAAAGCUCUUGUAGCUCGGUGGAAGCGACUAAAGGAUUCUGUCAAUGACCGCGUCAUCCAGGAGAUUAACUCCCAGCUGAGUCAAGCGGUUAUGCAACCCAGACAUUUUGAGUAUGUGCUCACUGACAGAACUAUUUUCCUCCAUCUUAUAGCUGAAGAUUUUGUCGGAGACUUCAUAUCUCUCGACCCGGGCAUGAGCUUGGAAAACCAUUUUCAGCUCUUCGAACAUCUCAUAUGCUCCGUGUCUCUCAAAAUGUUUUUGGAGCCUCGGCUCUAAGCUGUAAAGCAUACCGCACUGAAUGAGGGAGUAGUCAUCGGUACGUGCCUGCCAAGCGUUCAUAACGUCUUGUUCUGCAGGGAGAACAGGUGCGUCACCCAGCGGUGCUUGUAGGACAUAAUCUUUCUUGGCAGCUAUGAGGAUGAUCCUCAGGUUCCGGACCCAGUCCGUAUAGUUGCUGCCAUCGUCUUUCAGCUUGGUUUUCUCUAGGAACACGUUGAAGUUGAGGACUACGUUGGCCAUUUGAUCUACAAGACAUAUUGUAAAUAUUUUAGACUAAGUUCAUGAUAAUUAAGUUCAUCUAAUCAAAUUAUUCAAUGAACUCCCACUUAGAUAGACAUCCCUCCUGUCAUCUAAGUAUAACAUGAUCCGAGUUAACUAGGCCGUGUCCGAUCAUCACGUGAGACGGACUAGUCAACGUCGGUGAACAUCUUCAUGUUGAUCGUAUCUUCUAUACGACUCAUGCUUGACCUUUUGGUCUUCUGUGUUCCGAGGCCAUGUUUGUACACAUGCUAGGCUCGUCAAGUCAACCUAAGUGUUUUGCAUGUGUAAAUCUGUCUUACACCCGUUGUAUGUGAAUGUUAGAAUCUAUCACACACGAUCAUUACGUGGUGCUUCGAAACAACGAACUGUCGCAACGGUGCACAGUUAGGGGGAACACUUUCUUGAAAUUAUUAUGAGGGAUCAUCUUAUUUACUACCGUCGUUCUAAGCAAACAAGAUGAAAAACAUGAUAAACAUCACAUGCAAUCAAAUAAUAAUAGUGACAUGAUAUGGCCAAUAUCACAUAGCUCCUUUGAUCUCCAUCUUGGAGCUCCAUGAUCAUCUUGUCACCGGCAUGACACCAUGAUCUCCAUCAUCAUGAUCUCCAUCAUUGUGUCUCCAUGAAGUUGCUCGCCAACUAUUACUUCUACUACUAUGGCUAACGCGUUUAGCAAUAAAGUAAAGUAAUUUACAUGGCGUUUCUCAAUGACACGCAGGUCAUACAAAAAUAAAGGCAACUCCUAUGGCUCCCGCCGGUUGUCAUACUCAUCGACAUGCAAGUCGUGAUUCCUAUUACAAUAGCAUGAACAACUCAUACAUCACAUAUAUAUCAUUCAUCAUUCAUCACAACUUUGGCCAUAUCAUAUCACAAAGCACUUGCUACAAAAACAAGUUAGACGUCCUCUAAUUGUUGUUGCAAGUUUUACGUGGCUGAAGUAGGGUUCUAGCAAGAACGUUUUCUUACCUACGUGAAAGCCACAACGUGAUUUGUCAACUUCUAUUUACCCUUCAUAAGGACCCUUUUCAUCGAAUCCACUCCAACUAAAGUAGGAGAGACAGACACCCGCCAGCCACCUUAUGCAACUUGUGCAUGUUAGUCGGUGGAACCGGUCUCACGUAAGCGUACGUGUAAGGUUGGUCCGGGCUGCUUCAUCCCACAAUACCGUUGAAGCAAGAUAAGACUAGUAGCGGCAAGAAAGUUGACAACAUCAACGCCCACAACAAAUUGUGUUCUACUCGUGCAAGAGAACUACGCAUAGACCUAGCUCAUGAUGCCACUGUUGGGGAACGUUGCAGAAAACAAAAAUUUUCCUACGGUUUCACCAAGAUCCAUCUAUGAGUUCAUCUAGCAACGAGCGACUGGAUGCAUCUACGUACCUUGUAGAUCGCGAGUGGAAGCGUUCAAAAAACGGGAUGAGGGAGUCGUACUCGACGUGAUUCGAAUCACCGAAGAUCCUAGCACCGAACGGACGGCACCUCCGCGUUCAACACACGUACGGUCAGCGUGACGUCUCCUUCUUCUUGAUCCAGCAAGAGGGAAGGAGAGGUUGAGGAAGAUGGCUCCAGAAGCAGCACGACAGCGUGGUGGUGAUGGAGCUUCAGUACUCCGGCAGGGCUUCGCCAAGCACUAUGGAGGAGGGGGAGGUGUUGGAGAGGGAGAGGGAGGCACCAAAGAUCAAGGUAAGAAGUCCUCCAUCUCCCCACUAUAUAUAGGAAGGCCAAGGGGGGGGCGCCGGCCCUAGGAGAUCUAAUCUCCUAGGGUGGUGCGGCCAAGGGGAGGAAUCCCUCCUCCCCAAGGCACCUAGGAGGUGCCUUCCCCUCCUAGGACUCUUCCUCCUUGAAACCCUAGGCGCAUGGGCAUCUUGGGGCUGGUGCCCUUGGCCCAUGUAGGCCAAGGCGCACCCCCUACAACCCAUGUGCCCCCCCCCGGGACAGGUGGCCCCACCCAGUGGACCCCCGGGACCCUUCCGGUGGUCCCGGUACAAUGCCGAUGACCCCGAAACUUGUCCCGAUGCCCGAAACAGGACUUCCCAUAUAUAAAUCUUUACCUCUGGACCAUUCCGGAACUCCUCGUGACGUCCGGGAUCUCAUCCGGGACUCCGAACAACAUUCGGGUUACUGCAUAUACAUAUCCCUACAACCCUAGCGUCACCGAACCUUAAGUGUGUAGACCCUACGGGUUCGGGAGACAUGUAGACAUGACCGAGAUCGCUCUCCAGUCAAUAACCAACAGCGGGAUCUGGAUACCCAUGUUGGCUCCCACAUGCUCCUCGAUGAUCUCAUCGGAUGAACCACGAUGUCGAGGAUUCAAGCAACCCCGUAUACAAUUCCCUUUGUCAAUCGGUAUGUUACUUGCCCGAGAUCCGAUCGUCGGUAUCCCAAUACCUCGUUCAAUCUCGUUACCGGCAAGUCACUUUACUCGUACCGUAAUCCAUGAUCCCGUGACCAGACACUUGGUCACUUUGAGCUCAUUAUGAUGAUGCAUUACCGAGUGGGCCCAGUGAUACCUCUCCGUCAUACGGAGUGACAAUUCCCAGUCUUGAUCCGUGUCAACCCAACAGACACUUUCGGAGAUACCCGUAGUAUACCUUUAUAGUCACCCAGUUACGUUGUGACGUUUGGCACACCCAAAGCACUCCUACGGUAUCCGGGAGUUACACGAUCUCAUGGUCUAAGGAAAAGAUACUUGACAUUGGAAAACUCUAGCAAACGAACUAUACGAUCUUAUGCUGUGUUUAGGAUUGGGUCUUGUCCAUCACAUCAUUCUCCUAAUGAUGUGAUCUCGUUAUCAAUGACAUCUAAUGUCCAUAGUCAGGAAACCAUGACUAUCUGUUGAUCAACGAGCUAGUCAACUAGAGGCUUACUAGGGACAUGUUGGUGUCUAUUAUUCACACAUGUAUUACGAUUUCCGGAUAACACAAUUAUAGCAUGAAUAAAGACAAUUAUCAUGAACAAAGAAAUAUAAUAAUAAUGCUUUUAUUAUUGCCUCUAGGGCAUAUUUCCAACAGUGGGUACAGUGUGCUACCUCUGCAAAGUGUAUUAAUCUAUCGAUAGUCGCAUCCUAGGUCCCACCGUUCGAUCAACACUCACAUGACGGAAUGACUUAUAGGUGAUUUAUAUGGUGAUAUGUUGAGCAGUACAGAUUGACAGGAUGUUGAUGAUGAUGUUGGAGACCAAGUAUUGGUCAUGGUAGUGAUCGCCGGAAAGAUCACAGUUUGAGACCAAGUGUUGGUUAUGGUAGUGAUCUCCGGAAAGAUUACUAUUUGAGACCAAGUGUUGGUCGUGGUAGUGAUCGCCGGAAAGAUCACAGUUUGAGACCAAGUGUUGGUCAUGUAGUGAUCACCGAAAAGAUCACCAUAUGUUUUCGAUCAUGAGUUGAUCGAGAGGGUAUAUUGCUUGGCCGGUUAGCCAAGAGAGAUAUGGUUAUGGAGAUCCAAGAUGGUGAUGUAUCAACAUUGUAUUAGUUUAUCUCAUGCUUAGUAGUUGCUUCAUCGUGGUAGUUGAUAAUUAAUUAACCUUCUGAUGCUAUGUUAUUGUCUUGCCUUGAUGUUUAUGGUUGUUGUGAGCUUGCAAGUACAUUCAAUGUACUGACCUGGCGUGUCAUGCCAGAUUGCAGGUGAUGUCGUGAUUGCUUGAUUGCUUGUCGUGGUUUCCGUUCGUGCGAGCUAGAUCGUGUCCCAGCCAGACUCCCUGCGGAGUGGAGUUCACCACCUUCGUCGUUGUUCCGCUGCUAGAAGUUUUCCGCUGCUACGAGAUGUUUCGCUGCUAGCAUAGAGCAAGUGUAGUAUCGUAGGCGUAGUUUCGCCAUGCUGAUGUGAUUAUUGUAACACCAGACCCGUGUAAUUAUUAUUCUUGUAAUAAGAGCUGAUUUGUUCUAUGUCAAGCAGUGCCGUAUUCCAGAGACUUCUCCUCGAUCUCUGGGCUGGAAUACGGGGCGUU
This 16966-nucleotide long non-coding RNA is filed under the name Triticum aestivum (bread wheat). RNAcentral's name for it is "long non-coding RNA (TAES_LNC014075)". The record is from RNAcentral. Lineage: Eukaryota; Viridiplantae; Streptophyta; Magnoliopsida; Poales; Poaceae.